AAAAAAAAAGGAGUAUUCUUGUCGGGUUCGAGCUUGUGGCCCGCCUGCCUCUCUCCCUCUAGUCUCGAACGUUUGUACAGCGGCGAAGCUAAGGAGCGGCGCCCCUCCGAGAGGAGUGCGGGCUAGGCGCGUCCUCCUGGUCGCUCCGCCGAGGAGGUGGUGAGGUCCUCGGUACGCCUGCCACGGGCCCCUAGACCGAAGAGACGGGCAAACGGCUACCCUCCGUUGUUGUUCGACGCACGAUCGCAGCGCCGCCACCCCCGGAACAGACGGCGGAACUAGCCUCGUUUCGACAUAGAGUCUUUUGUUUUUGUGUCUUCGUUGGUUGUAGACUUAGAAGUCCAUCCUUACCGUUCCGACCUCCCGACUUUUAUCUUCUGAGACGACCGACGACUUCUACACACGGAAAUAUAUACAACGACGGCACAAAAUCAUCAAAUAAACGACAAUCAAAGAGACCACGGGAGCACUUGAAACAAUAUAGGCCCUACUACUACUAUCCGUCUGAACAUCCGGACUACCAAAAACCACUACAACCAAGCACAUCCCAAACGCCGCGACGGAACGUAAUACAAUCAGCAAUCCAACUUAUAACACCAAGACGUUCGACCAAAAGUCACUACUUUUAGCCUUCCCCCUUUGGGGAAGAAACUAGAGGAAAAGAAAGUCGAGGAGCACUGUACAAUGGAUUAGUAUAUAUACUUGUAUGUUUGGAACAGCACGGGUGUCGAACCCGGGAUUGGCUGUUCUUGCGCCGCUGCGACCUCCUCCACUAGCGGCUCCUCGCCCUGCGCCUCUUCCUCCGUCGUUACUUCCGCUCCAAGCUCCUCACCUACCAGCUCAUUCUCGCUUCUCCUCUUCCGGUAACGUUCUUGCGGCUCUCCCGGUUGUACGAGAGGGCACCUCCGCGGUGCAAGUCCGGCUUGUUGGAGACGUCUCACUCGCACUCGGCUGGAAGCGCGUAUCCAAACCCAUGGGCAUGGCCGCGCGGCAGCUUACCACCCAAGAUCCGUUCACUUCCCACGAUGAAAACCCUGCUUGCCGCUCAUACCAACAAAGUUCAAAACAAUCAUAGUCAAAGUCACAGAAAACGAGAGUCAUACCCCUCAUUACACUUACAAGAGAUCCAAAAUAGUUCGAUAUUUUGUCCGUGGUACACUUACAUCACAAUAACUACACGACCGGAAGUGACUGAGCU
This 1198-nucleotide ribosomal RNA is filed under the name Triticum aestivum (bread wheat). RNAcentral describes it as "partial small subunit ribosomal RNA". The record is from RNAcentral. Lineage: Eukaryota; Viridiplantae; Streptophyta; Magnoliopsida; Poales; Poaceae.